This 107-nucleotide small nucleolar RNA is filed under the name Theobroma cacao (cacao). Its description in RNAcentral is "Plant small nucleolar RNA R71". It matches the Rfam family "Plant small nucleolar RNA R71". Rfam says of the family: R71 is a member of the C/D box family of snoRNAs containing the C (UGAUGA) and D (CUGA) box motifs. Multiple nearly identical copies of this snoRNA have been identified in Arabidopsis, and it is thought to function as a 2'-O-ribose methylation guide for 18S ribosomal RNA. The record is from Rfam by way of RNAcentral. Lineage: Eukaryota; Viridiplantae; Streptophyta; Magnoliopsida; Malvales; Malvaceae.
AGCCCAUGGUGAAGACAUCUCCUUAACAAAUCCUUAUACCUUUCCCAAGCCUCAUACAAUCAUUCAAAAUUGAAUUGUGUGAAAAAAGUGAUGUCAUUCUGCAUCAU